CUACGGGGUGCUCCAGUGAGGAAUAUUGGGCAAUGGAGGCAACUCUGACCCAGCCAUGCCGCGUGCAGGAUGACGGCCCUAUGGGUUGUAAACUGCUUUUAUACGGGAAGAAACCCAGGUACGUGUACCUGGCUGACGGUACCGUAAGAAUAAGCAUCGGCUAACUCCGUGCCAGCAGCCGCGGUAAUACGGAGGAUGCAAGCGUUAUCCGGAUUUAUUGGGUUUAAAGGGUGCGUAGGCGGAAAAAUAAGUCAGUGGUGAAAUCCUGCAGCUUAACUGUAGAACUGCCAUUGAUACUGUUAUUCUUGAGUAUAGUUGAGGUAGGCGGAAUGUGUAAUGUAGCGGUGAAAUGCUUAGAUAUUACACAGAACACCAAUUGCGUAGGCAGCUUACUAAGCUAUAACUGACGCUGAGGCACGAAAGCGUGGGGAUCGAACAGGAUUAGAUACCCCCGUAGUC
This 459-nucleotide ribosomal RNA is filed under the name uncultured bacterium. Its description in RNAcentral is "partial 16S ribosomal RNA". It matches the Rfam family "Bacterial small subunit ribosomal RNA", at positions 339 to 795 of the family's 1533-position model. The record is from RNAcentral.